CUUCAGCAUAGUGUAAAAUGCAUCUUCCUCUUCACUUUUUGGUCUUUAGCAUCACAAAAAAGCUGAGGGAUCUAAAGUGGAACUUUUGUUCCUGGUUUUGGGACACUUGAAAGAGAGCAUCUCCCAGUGGCAAAGAUAAAAGCCCACGUCCUUCCUGCAUCCUGUGGCUGUGCAUUCUCAGCCACAAGAGUCAGCAAGUCCCUUUCCAGAGGGAAGUGAUUUGGACAAUCACAUCUCAGACUGAUGCUGCUAAUCUGGCCUUACCCAAGGGAAGUGGGUGAGGUCAGAAGAUGUGGAAAGGACUUGUCUGCUGUCAGGAGGAUGAUGAAAUUGAUGCGUCAAAUAGAGCUGAAUGCUGCUGUAAAGGUAAGGAAAUUGGGACUGCUGUGCUCCUGUUGUUUAAGUGUUUAUUAUAUGCAUUUUUGGUGCUU
This 431-nucleotide long non-coding RNA is filed under the name Coturnix japonica (Japanese quail). RNAcentral describes it as "lncRNA (ENSCJPG00005021269.1)". Lineage: Eukaryota; Metazoa; Chordata; Aves; Galliformes; Phasianidae. The record is from RNAcentral.